AAAAAAGGUAAGCUACUAAGAGCGAAUGGUGGAUGCCUUGACUGGUAAAGGCGAUGAAGGACGUACUAGACUGCGAUAAGCUACGGGGAGCUGUCAAGAAGCUUUGAUCCGUAGAUUUCCGAAUGGGGCAACCCAAUGUAUAGAGAUAUACAUUACCUAUAUAGGAGCGAACGAGGGGAAUUGAAACAUCUUAGUACCCUCAGGAAAAGAAAUCAAUAGAGAUUGCGUCAGUAGCGGCGAGCGAAAGCGCAAGAGGGCAAACCCAGUGCUUGCACUGGGGGUUGUAGGACUGCAAUGUGCAAGAGGUGAGUUUAGCAGAACAUUCUGGAAAGUAUAGCCAUAGAGGGUGAUAGUCCCGUAUGCGAAAAACAAACCUUAGCUAGCAGUAUCCUGAGUAGGGCGGGACACGAGAAAUCCUGUCUGAAGCUGGGUCGACCACGAUCCAACCCUAAAUACUAAUACCAGAUCGAUAGUGCACAAGUACCGUGAGGGAAAGGUGAAAAGAACUGAGGUGAUCAGAGUGAAAUAGAACCUGAAACCAUUUGCUUACAAUCAUUCAGAGCCCUAUGUAGCAAUACAGGGUGAUGGACUGCCUUUUGCAUAAUGAGCCUGCGAGUUGUGGUGUCUGGCAAGGUUAAGCAAACGCGAAGCCGUAGCGAAAGCGAGUCUGAAUAGGGCGCUUAGUCAGAUGCUGCAGACCCGAAACGAAGUGAUCUAUCCAUGAGCAAGUUGAAGCUAGUGUAAGAACUAGUGGAGGACUGAACCCAUAGGCGUUGAAAAGCCCCGGGAUGACUUGUGGAUAGGGGUGAAAGGCCAAUCAAACUUCGUGAUAGCUGGUUCUCUCCGAAAUAUAUUUAGGUAUAGCGUUGUGUCGUAAUAUAAGGGGGUAGAGCACUGAAUGGGCUAGGGCAUACACCAAUGUACCAAACCCUAUCAAACUCCGAAUACCUUAUAUGUAAUCACAGCAGUCAGGCGGCGAGUGAUAAAAUCCGUCGUCAAGAGGGAAACAACCCAGACUACCAGCUAAGGUCCCUAAAUCUUACUUAAGUGGAAAACGAUGUGAAGUUACUUAAACAACCAGGAGGUUGGCUUAGAAGCAGCCAUCCUUUAAAGAAAGCGUAAUAGCUCACUGGUCUAGUGAUUUUGCGCGGAAAAUAUAACGGGGCUAAAGUAAGUACCGAAGCUGUAGACUUGCGCACAACUUAGAUUAUUUAAGUUUAGAAUAUGAGAAACUAAGUUAUAUGUUUAGUUAUAUUUUUACUGAUUUUUAUAGAGUAAAGAUAGAAAUAAAACUUAGUAAAAUCAGUAAAAAUAUUCUUAGACUAAAGUUAAGUAGUUUAAGUUGUGUGCAAGUGGUAGGAGAGCGUUCUAUUUGCGUCGAAGGUAUACCGGUAAGGAGUGCUGGAGCGAAUAGAAGUGAGCAUGCAGGCAUGAGUAGCGAUAAUUAAUGUGAGAAUCAUUAACGCCGUAAACCCAAGGUUUCCUACGCGAUGCUCGUCAUCGUAGGGUUAGUCGGGUCCUAAGUCGAGUCCGAAAGGGGUAGACGAUGGCAAAUUGGUUAAUAUUCCAAUACCAACAUUAGUGUGCGAUGGAAGGACGCUUAGGGCUAAGGGGGCUAGCGGAUGGAAGUGCUAGUCUAAGGUCGUAGGAGGUUAUACAGGCAAAUCCGUAUAACAAUACUCCGAGAACUGAAAGGCUUUUUGAAGUCUUCGGAUGGAUAGAAGAACCCCUGAUGCCGUCGAGCCAAGAAAAGUUUCUAAGUUUAGCUAAUGUUG
RNAcentral lists this ribosomal RNA (1775 nucleotides) under Campylobacter coli. Its description in RNAcentral is "partial 23S ribosomal RNA". It matches the Rfam family "Bacterial large subunit ribosomal RNA", at positions 1 to 1640 of the family's 2925-position model. Lineage: Bacteria; Pseudomonadati; Campylobacterota; Epsilonproteobacteria; Campylobacterales; Campylobacteraceae. The record is from RNAcentral.